UAGCUCAGGGGUAGAGCACAACCUUGCCAAGGUUGGGGUCGCGAGUUCGAAUCUCG
This 56-nucleotide transfer RNA is filed under the name Campylobacter coli. Its description in RNAcentral is "tRNA-Gly". It matches the Rfam family "tRNA", at positions 8 to 62 of the family's 71-position model. From Rfam's summary of the family: Transfer RNA (tRNA) molecules are approximately 80 nucleotides in length. The record is from RNAcentral. Lineage: Bacteria; Pseudomonadati; Campylobacterota; Epsilonproteobacteria; Campylobacterales; Campylobacteraceae. RNAcentral also lists the same sequence under 1 other name.